CACCAGACUCCUACGGGAGGCAGCAGUGGGGAAUAUUGGGCAAUGGGCGCAAGCCUUACCCAGCAACGCCGCGUGAAGGAAGAAGGCCCUCGGGUUGUAAACUUCUUUUGUCAGGGACGAAGCAAGUGACGGUACCUGACGAAUAAGCCACGGCUAACUACGUGCCAGCAGCCACGGUAAUACGUAGGUGGCAAGCGUUAUCCGGAUUUACUGGGUGUAAAGGGCGUGUAGGCGGGGAAGCAAGUCAGAUGUGAAAUUCCAGGGCUCAACCCUGGAACUGCAUUUGAAACUGUUUUUCUUGAGUGCUGGAGAGGCAAUCGGAAUUCCGUGUGUAGCGGUGAAAUGCGUAGAUAUACGGAGGAACACCAGUGGCGAAGGCGGAUUGCUGGACAGUAACUGACGCUGAGGCGCGAAAGCGUGGGGAGCAAACAGGAUUAGAUACCCGGUA
RNAcentral lists this ribosomal RNA (448 nucleotides) under uncultured bacterium. Its description in RNAcentral is "bacterial SSU rRNA". It matches the Rfam family "Bacterial small subunit ribosomal RNA", at positions 329 to 792 of the family's 1533-position model. The record is from RNAcentral.